Molecule: ribosomal RNA, 310 nt
Filed under: uncultured bacterium
Lineage: Bacteria
Description: partial 16S ribosomal RNA
Rfam family: Bacterial small subunit ribosomal RNA
Source: RNAcentral
UACUAACGCUGGCGGCGUGCCUAAUACAUGCAAGUCGAACGCAGUGGGGACGGGUGAGUAACACGUGGGUAACCUCCCAUCAGAGGGGAUAACACUUGGCAACAGGUGCUAAACCGAUACUGAUGGAUGAACCCGCGGUGCAUUAGCUAGUUGGUGAGGUAACGGCUCACCAAGGCCACGAUGCAUAGCCGACCUGGGAGGGUGAUCGGCCACACUGGGACUGAGACACGGCCCAGACUCCUACGGGAGGAAGCAGGAGGGAAUCUUCGGCAAUGGACGAAAGUCUGACCGAGCAACGCCGCGGUAAUAC